This is a long non-coding RNA of Ochotona curzoniae (black-lipped pika), 403 nucleotides long. RefSeq lists it as uncharacterized. The transcript has 4 exons. The record is from RefSeq and is a predicted model, not a curated record. NCBI's taxonomy places the organism in Eukaryota, Metazoa, Chordata, Mammalia, Lagomorpha, Ochotonidae.
CGGCGUGGGGCGGACCCGCGGGGCGGGACUGGAAGCCCGGUUCCUGCCCGAGCUGGGCCGCAAGGCUGAAGAUCAGCUGGAAAAAGGGCUUUUGAAUGGAUCCAACACAGAGGAAUGAAGGAGCCUUGUGAAAAGGCGUUGCAGGCUUUUGAUUGGAAGGACUUGUUCUGAGGGCAGAAACCUUGUUCUGCCCUCAGCAGCAGAGGAAUGCUGAAUCUUCGUGUUUUGCAACCUGUAUGAACACUUCAACUGUAGCACCUAGGAAACCAGACACACCAUUUGCUCCAGCCCUGAUGUUCUUUGGUCUUCAGCAGAAGGAAGAUUUUCAUGUGAACCAGAGGUAAAUUGAAGGGCAAAAUGAUUAAUAGCCAAGUAUGCACCCGAUGGCUUUUGUCUUUACAAG